RNAcentral lists this ribosomal RNA (397 nucleotides) under uncultured bacterium. RNAcentral's name for it is "partial 16S ribosomal RNA". It matches the Rfam family "Bacterial small subunit ribosomal RNA", at positions 523 to 918 of the family's 1533-position model. The record is from RNAcentral.
AUACGAAGGGUGCAAGCGUUGUUCGGAUUUACUGGGCGUAAAGCGUCCGUAGGUGGUUUGUUAAGUCAGGGGUGAAAUCCCGGGGCCUAACCCCGGAACUGCCUUUGAUACUGGCAGGCUGGAGCGCGAUAGAGGAAGAUGGAAUAUCUGGUGUAGGGGUGAAAUCCGUAGAUAUCAGAUAGAACACCAAUGGCGAAGGCAGUCUUCUGGAUCGUUGCUGACACUGAGGGACGAAAGCGUGGGUAGCAAACAGAAUUAGAUACUCUGGUAGUCCACGCCCUAAACGAUGCAUGCUUGUUGUUGGUUUCCUUCGGGGAAUCAGUGACGAAGCUAACGCGUUAAGCAUGCCGCCUGGGGACUACGAUCACAAGAUUAAAACUUAAAGGAAUUGACGGGG